This 302-nucleotide long non-coding RNA is filed under the name Numida meleagris (helmeted guineafowl). RNAcentral describes it as "lncRNA (ENSNMEG00000010164.1)". Lineage: Eukaryota; Metazoa; Chordata; Aves; Galliformes; Numididae. The record is from RNAcentral.
CGAGUAUAUACAGUUGGGUGGAUUUUGGUUCAGUCACUGUUACGCUAGCUCAGAUGAGGACAAACAUGUAUCAUCUCUGCUGGGACAUCAGCAGUCUGGAAUAAUAUCUGUUUUGUAGCUAGAUAAUUCAGGCAGACCGUGAGUCAUCAUCAGAGGCAUCAAAAACUCUGCUCUGCUGAGUAUCCAUUCUACCUGCUGUUGGCCAAGAUACUUACCUGCAGCAUCUCAGCCAUAUCAGUCACGUUCUACCUGUACAGAUGAUAUGGUAUACAUAUAGAUGUAAGACCAACAGCAUCACUUCC